RNAcentral lists this ribosomal RNA (254 nucleotides) under uncultured bacterium. RNAcentral's name for it is "partial 16S ribosomal RNA". It matches the Rfam family "Bacterial small subunit ribosomal RNA", at positions 524 to 776 of the family's 1533-position model. The record is from RNAcentral.
UACAGAGGUCCCAAGCGUUGUUCGGAUUCAUUGGGCGUAAAGGGUGCGUAGGCGGCCAACUAAGUCAGACGUGAAAUCCCUCGGCUUAACCGGGGAACUGCGUCUGAUACUGGAUGGCUUGAGUUUGGGAGAGGGAUGCGGAAUUCCAGGUGUAGCGGUGAAAUGCGUAGAUAUCUGGAGGAACACCGGUGGCGAAGGCGGCAUCCUGGACCAACACUGACGCUGAGUGAGCGAAAGCCAGGGGAGCAAACGGG